GCCUUUGUACUGAGAGACUUGAGUUUUUUAGAAGUCCUUAGAAUGUGUAGUGUAGCGGUGAAAUGCAUACAUAUUACACAGAAUACCGAUUGCGAAGGCCCUUACUAACUAUAUACUGACGCUGAGGGACGAAAGCGUGGGUAGCGAAGAGGAUUACAUACCCUGGUAGUCCACGCCGUAAACGAUGGAUACUAGCUGUUCGACCAACAUUGGUUGGUUGAGUGGCUAAGCGAAAGUGAUAAGUAUCCC
RNAcentral lists this ribosomal RNA (249 nucleotides) under uncultured bacterium. RNAcentral's name for it is "partial 16S ribosomal RNA". It matches the Rfam family "Bacterial small subunit ribosomal RNA", at positions 624 to 870 of the family's 1533-position model. The record is from RNAcentral.